Molecule: ribosomal RNA, 250 nt
Filed under: uncultured prokaryote
Description: partial 16S rRNA
Rfam family: Bacterial small subunit ribosomal RNA
Source: RNAcentral
ACGUAGGGGGCAAGCGUUAUCCGGAAUUAUUGGGCGUAAAGAGUGCGUAGGUGGUUUUUUAAGCGUGAGGUGAAAGGCAAUAGCUUAACUAUUGUAAGCCUUGCGAACUGGAAGACUUGAGUGCAGGAGAGGAAAGUGGAAUUCCUAGUGUGUCGGUUAAAUGAGUAGAUCUGAGAAGGAACCACAGGAGCGAAGGCGACAUUCUGGACUGUAACUGGCUGUGGGCCAUGAAAGCGUUGGGAGCAAGGAG